This is a long non-coding RNA of Carassius auratus (goldfish), 401 nucleotides long. RefSeq lists it as uncharacterized. Lineage: Eukaryota; Metazoa; Chordata; Actinopteri; Cypriniformes; Cyprinidae. The transcript has 3 exons. The record is from RefSeq and is a predicted model, not a curated record.
CUUUUGUUGUGUUCACAACAUUUCACUGAUGACUGCUUUUCUAAUCUCGGCAGACCGGAGAUGUGUAGAGAGCUGUCAGGAGCGUUUGAAUCAGAUUCAAACAUCCUCCCAGUGGCAGAUGGCAGGAGAUGGCCCGAGCCGCAAGUGACGAGAGACCUGCAAAGGGGACAUGCUCUGUGCAUGUGUGUAUGUGAAAAUGAUGAGACUAUGUUCGCCCCUCGUCUGGACUACUGUCUGUUUGGACUAUCUGUUUAACUCGCCCCCUGGAUUAUGUUAGCCGUUGAUUGACCUAUGACUGUUCACUGGACUGCUCUUGUGUCUUGCCCUCAAUAUACUGGUUUGCCGGAGUUCAACCCCGCCUGUGGAGGACCAUGUCUAUGAAUAAAGCUUUGCGUAUGGAU